GAUGAACGCUAGCGGCAGGCCUAACACAUGCAGGUCGAGGGGUAGAAGGAGCUUGCUCCUUUGAGACCGGCGCACGGGUGCGUAACGCGUAUGCAAUCUACCUUGUACAGGGGAAUAGCCCAGAGAAAUUUGGAUUAAUGCCCCAUAGUAUAUAACCUUCGCAUGUUGGUUAUAUUAAAGUUCCAACGGUACAAGAUGAGCAUGCGUCCCAUUAGUUAGUUGGUAAGGUAACGGCUUACCAAGACGAUGAUGGGUAGGGGUCCUGAGAGGGAGAUCCCCCACACUGGUACUGAGACACGGACCAGACUCCUACGGGAGGCAGCAGUGAGGAAUAUUGGUCAAUGGUGGCAAGACUGAACCAGCCAUGCCGCGUGCAGGAAGACGGUCCUAUGGAUUGUAAACUGCUUUUAUACAGGAAGAAACCCUCCCACGUGUGGGAGCUUGACGGUACUGUAGGAAUAAGGAUCGGCUAACUCCGUG
This 480-nucleotide ribosomal RNA is filed under the name uncultured bacterium. Its description in RNAcentral is "partial 16S ribosomal RNA". It matches the Rfam family "Bacterial small subunit ribosomal RNA", at positions 28 to 507 of the family's 1533-position model. The record is from RNAcentral.